RNAcentral lists this ribosomal RNA (2932 nucleotides) under Salmonella enterica subsp. enterica. RNAcentral describes it as "bacterial LSU rRNA". It matches the Rfam family "Bacterial large subunit ribosomal RNA". RNAcentral also lists the same sequence under 1 other name. The record is from RNAcentral. Lineage: Bacteria; Pseudomonadati; Pseudomonadota; Gammaproteobacteria; Enterobacterales; Enterobacteriaceae.
GGGUUGUGAGGUUAAGCGACCAAGCGUACACGGUGGAUGCCCUGGCAGUCAGAGGCGAUGAAGGACGUGCUAAUCUGCGAUAAGCGCCGGUAAGGUGAUAUGAACCGUUAUAACCGGCGAUUUCCGAAUGGGGAAACCCAGUGUGAUUCGUCACACUAUCAUUAACUGAAUCCAUAGGUUAAUGAAGCGAACCGGGGGAACUGAAACAUCUAAGUACCCCGAGGAAAAGAAAUCAACCGAGAUUCCCCCAGUAGCGGCGAGCGAACGGGGAGGAGCCCAGAGCCUGAAUCAGCAUGUGUGUUAGUGGAAGCGUCUGGAAAGGCGCGCGAUACAGGGUGACAGCCCCGUACACAAAAGCGCAUGUGCUGUGAGCUCGAUGAGUAGGGCGGGACACGUGGUAUCCUGUCUGAAUAUGGGGGGACCAUCCUCCAAGGCUAAAUACUCCUGACUGACCGAUAGUGAACCAGUACCGUGAGGGAAAGGCGAAAAGAACCCCGGCGAGGGGAGUGAAACAGAACCUGAAACCGUGUACGUACAAGCAGUGGGAGCACAGGUUUACCUGUGUGACUGCGUACCUUUUGUAUAAUGGGUCAGCGACUUAUAUUCUGUAGCAAGGUUAACCGCAUAGGGGAGCCGAAGGGAAACCGAGUCUUAAUUGGGCGUUAAGUUGCAGGGUAUAGACCCGAAACCCGGUGAUCUAGCCAUGGGCAGGUUGAAGGUUGGGUAACACUAACUGGAGGACCGAACCGACUAAUGUUGAAAAAUUAGCGGAUGACCUGUGGCUGGGGGUGAAAGGCCAAUCAAACCGGGAGAUAGCUGGUUCUCCCCGAAAGCUAUUUAGGUAGCGCCUCGUGAACUCAUCUCCGGGGGUAGAGCACUGUUUCGGCUAGGGGGCCAUCCCGGCUUACCAACCCGAUGCAAACUGCGAAUACCGGAGAAUGUUAUCACGGGAGACACACGGCGGGUGCUAACGUCCGUCGUGAAGAGGGAAACAACCCAGACCGCCAGCUAAGGUCCCAAAGUCAUGGUUAAGUGGGAAACGAUGUGGGAAGGCCCAGACAGCCAGGAUGUUGGCUUAGAAGCAGCCAUCAUUUAAAGAAAGCGUAAUAGCUCACUGGUCGAGUCGGCCUGCGCGGAAGAUGUAACGGGGCUAAACCAUGCACCGAAGCUGCGGCAGCGACGCUUAUGCGUUGUUGGGUAGGGGAGCGUUCUGUAAGCCGUUGAAGGUGGCCUGUGAGGGUUGCUGGAGGUAUCAGAAGUGCGAAUGCUGACAUAAGUAACGAUAAAGCGGGUGAAAAGCCCGCUCGCCGGAAGACCAAGGGUUCCUGUCCAACGUUAAUCGGGGCAGGGUGAGUCGACCCCUAAGGCGAGGCCGAAAGGCGUAGUCGAUGGGAAACGGGUUAAUAUUCCCGUACUUGGUGUUACUGCGAAGGGGGGACGGAGAAGGCUAUGUUGGCCGGGCGACGGUUGUCCCGGUUUAAGCGUGUAGGCUGACUUUCCAGGCAAAUCCGGAGAGUCAAGGCUGAGGCGUGACGACGAGGCACCACGGUGCUGAAGCAACAAAUGCCCUGCUUCCAGGAAAAGCCUCUAAGCAUCAGGUAACAUCAAAUCGUACCCCAAACCGACACAGGUGGUCAGGUAGAGAAUACCAAGGCGCUUGAGAGAACUCGGGUGAAGGAACUAGGCAAAAUGGUGCCGUAACUUCGGGAGAAGGCACGCUGACAUGUAGGUGAAGUGGUUUACCCAUGGAGCUGAAGUCAGUCGAAGAUACCAGCUGGCUGCAACUGUUUAUUAAAAACACAGCACUGUGCAAACACGAAAGUGGACGUAUACGGUGUGACGCCUGCCCGGUGCCGGAAGGUUAAUUGAUGGGGUCAGCGCAAGCGAAGCUCCUGAUCGAAGCCCCGGUAAACGGCGGCCGUAACUAUAACGGUCCUAAGGUAGCGAAAUUCCUUGUCGGGUAAGUUCCGACCUGCACGAAUGGCGUAAUGAUGGCCAGGCUGUCUCCACCCGAGACUCAGUGAAAUUGAACUCGCUGUGAAGAUGCAGUGUACCCGCGGCAAGACGGAAAGACCCCGUGAACCUUUACUAUAGCUUGACACUGAACAUUGAGCCUUGAUGUGUAGGAUAGGUGGGAGGCUUUGAAGCGUGGACGCCAGUCUGCGUGGAGCCGGCCUUGAAAUACCACCCUUUAAUGUUUGAUGUUCUAACGUGGACCCGUGAUCCGGGUUGCGGACAGUGUCUGGUGGGUAGUUUGACUGGGGCGGUCUCCUCCUAAAGAGUAACGGAGGAGCACGAAGGUUGGCUAAUCCUGGUCGGACAUCAGGAGGUUAGUGCAAUGGCAUAAGCCAGCUUGACUGCGAGCGUGACGGCGCGAGCAGGUGCGAAAGCAGGUCAUAGUGAUCCGGUGGUUCUGAAUGGAAGGGCCAUCGCUCAACGGAUAAAAGGUACUCCGGGGAUAACAGGCUGAUACCGCCCAAGAGUUCAUAUCGACGGCGGUGUUUGGCACCUCGAUGUCGGCUCAUCACAUCCUGGGGCUGAAGUAGGUCCCAAGGGUAUGGCUGUUCGCCAUUUAAAGUGGUACGCGAGCUGGGUUUAGAACGUCGUGAGACAGUUCGGUCCCUAUCUGCCGUGGGCGCUGGAGAACUGAGGGGGGCUGCUCCUAGUACGAGAGGACCGGAGUGGACGCAUCACUGGUGUUCGGGUUGUCAUGCCAAUGGCACUGCCCGGUAGCUAAAUGCGGAAGAGAUAAGUGCUGAAAGCAUCUAAGCACGAAACUUGCCCCGAGAUGAGUUCUCCCUGAGACUUAGAGUCUCCUGAAGGAACGUUGAAGACGACGACGUUGAUAGGCCGGGUGUGUAAGCGCAGCGAUGCGUUGAGCUAACCGGUACUAAUGAACCGUGAGGCUUAACCUUACAACGCCGAAGCUGUU